Molecule: unclassified non-coding RNA, 249 nt
Filed under: plant metagenome
Description: partial contains small subunit ribosomal RNA, internal transcribed spacer 1, and 5.8S ribosomal RNA
Rfam family: 5.8S ribosomal RNA (bases 201-249)
Source: RNAcentral
UCUCCGUAGGUGAACCUGCGGAGGGAUCAUUGCAGAGUUCAUGCCCUACCGGGUAGAUCUCCCACCCUAUGUUAUUAUUACUUUGUUGCUUUGGCGGGCCGUUAGGCUCCGGCCCGACUACCGGCCCCGGCUGGUAAGCGCCCGCCAGAGGACCCAAAACCCUGAAUAUUAGUGUCGUCUGAGUACUAUAUAAUAGUUAAAACUUUCAACAACGGAUCUCUUGGUUCUGACAUCGAUGAAGAACGCAGC